AGUAAGAUGGCUGAAAUUAAGCGGAAAACUGUAAAUUUUCUUAUGAAGUCCUCUUCUCUUACUA
This 64-nucleotide transfer RNA is filed under the name Menacanthus cornutus. RNAcentral's name for it is "tRNA-Tyr". Lineage: Eukaryota; Metazoa; Arthropoda; Insecta; Psocodea; Menoponidae. The record is from RNAcentral.